Molecule: long non-coding RNA, 759 nt
Organism: Grus americana (Whooping crane)
Lineage: Eukaryota; Metazoa; Chordata; Aves; Gruiformes; Gruidae
Exons: 4
Source: RefSeq, a predicted model, not a curated record
UCCCGGACACCCGCCCCUCGCGCGCUGUCCGCGCGUCCCUUAGUCCCGCGGUGACUUUUGGUCUGGGGUCUUCUACCGUCGUCUCGGAUUCUUCUUCUGUAUAGCUGUGGGCGGUGCGUUAUUCCACAGGUGCCGCCGCGCCGAUGCUCCGUACGUUCGCAGUAACGGGUAGAGCGGAAGGCUCCGUGGCCAGGGAAGAGCGGCACGGACACGUUCCUGCUCGCUCCGUUGCACCGGAAUUUCGACGGCUGGGUUCGGCCGCUAAAUUGAUGGCGCUACCGGAAGAAAUUUCAGAAAAAAAGGGUGGCUUUUUCGUCGAUCUCUUUGUGAGAGUAUCAAAUAAGGCGGCGGUAAAUACGUAGAAGCAACUAGGCGUACUACGGCGUGUACCGGACAGCGUUGGCGUGCCGCUCUGCUAGCAGCGGAGAGCCAGAUGAGGAUGCCCGUGAUAUGAGAAAAGCUCUGUCCAGAGAUAUGGAGACGAAAUCAGUUGUACCUCACCCUGUGACACCGGAAGACAUUGAGUAACUCGUCCUGCAGCUGGCUCCUCGGUUUUGGCGGCAGCCUGCACAUAGCAGCCCAGCUCUCCAGCAGCCUGACGGACCGACCGUGUGUCUGUUCCACGCCGGACUGGCGAGCGUGGCUCUGGGUAGGACAGCCGAGGUGCCCCAGGGCCGGGCCCCGAGCCCCGGUGCGGAGUCUCUCCCGGAACCGGCUCUGUGUGUGACUGAAUAAACGCUUGCGGUCUCUUUUGCCGUG